UAUGAUAAUUUUUAAAAAUAAAAGUAUUGCGAAUAUUGUAUAAUUUUCUUUGCUUAUAAUUUGAACUGAAGAGUUGCAAGGAAGAGUAAAAUGUUGUAUAAAUUAGAAAAAUUUGUUUAGGGGAUUUACAAGAAGUUGAAUUAAGAAAACAUGACAAAAGGGAAUUAAUUACUGAAAAAUGGAAUUGAGGAGAUCUAUCUAGCUGCUCGAGUUAGUACUCAAUAUAUUUUUAUCAGUUCGAAAUACGAAUGUUAAUUUUAUUACCGCAUCGUUUUAUUCAUAUUAAAGAUUGUUAAAAUGAAAAUGCCCAUCAGAGAAGGGAUAGAAACUUUGGCAACGAACCAAUUUUCUAACAGAGUAAAACAAAAAAGAAAGAGAGGAAAAAAGAGAAAGAAGCAUAGCGGCACGAUCGAAGGAGGAAGACGGUCGGCGACCUCCUGAAUUGCGACAUAAGGAGCGAAGCUGUUCACACACUGACCCCCAUUUCCUUCCCGCCGGCGCGGCGAAUAGCAUAGCACCAGUUUUGAUUUUGCCUACUACUCGAUCCCGUAUUUCGCUCUUUUUCUUCAUUCGGAUUUCAAGGAAAACUUGUUUUUUCUUUCAAUCAUGGAAAACAUCUGUUCCCUUUUAGAGAAAACUGUGACUUGCUUCUUCCAUUUGGAUCUUUUACGCAAUUUUUUUUACCUAUUCCAAGUAUUUGAUACGCUUCGUAUUUCAUAAU
This 721-nucleotide unclassified non-coding RNA is filed under the name Bombus terrestris (buff-tailed bumblebee). RNAcentral describes it as "misc RNA ENSBTSG00005033605.1". The record is from RNAcentral. Lineage: Eukaryota; Metazoa; Arthropoda; Insecta; Hymenoptera; Apidae.